Molecule: ribosomal RNA, 464 nt
Filed under: uncultured bacterium
Lineage: Bacteria
Description: bacterial SSU rRNA
Rfam family: Bacterial small subunit ribosomal RNA
Source: RNAcentral
GCUUAACACAUGCAAGUGGAGCGACAGCGGGUCUUUCGGAAUCCCGCCGANCGNCGGACGGUGAGUAAUGCAUAGGAAUCUGCCUGGUAGUGGGGAUAACUCGGGGAAACUCGAGCUAAUGCGGCAUACGUCUUACGGGAGAAAGCGGGGGAUCUUCGGACCUCGCGCUACCAGAUGAGCCUAGGUCGGAUUAGCUAGUUGGUGGGGUAAAGGCUCACCAAGGCGACGAUCCGUAGCUGGUCUGAGAGGAUGAUCAGCCACACUGGAACUGAGACACGGUCCAGACUCCUACGGGAGGCAGCAGUGGGGAAUAUUGGACAAUGGGCGAAAGCCUGAUCCAGCCAUGCCGCGUGUGUGAAGAAGGUCUUCGGAUUGUAAAGCACUUUAAGUUGGGAGGAAGGGCAGUAAGCUAAUACCUUGCUGUUUUGACGUUACCGACAGAAUAAGCACCGGCUAACUUCGUG